UGCGUAGGCGGAAUAGUCAGUCAGUGGUGAAAUCCUGCAGCUUAACUGUAGAGCUGCCAUUGAUACUUCUAUUCUUGAGUUCAGUUGAGGUAGGCGGAAUGUGUAGUGUAGCGGUGAAAUGCUUAGAUAUUACACAGAACACCGAUUGCGAAGGCAGCUUACUAAACUGACACUGACGCUGAGGCACGAAAGCGUGGGGAGCGAACAGGAUUAGAUACCCUGGUAGUCC
RNAcentral lists this ribosomal RNA (229 nucleotides) under uncultured bacterium. RNAcentral's name for it is "partial 16S ribosomal RNA". It matches the Rfam family "Bacterial small subunit ribosomal RNA", at positions 568 to 796 of the family's 1533-position model. The record is from RNAcentral.